AGAGUUUGAUCCUGGCUCAGGACGAACGCUGGCGGCGUGCUUAACACAUGCAAGUCGAACGGUGAAGGGAGCUUGCUCCUGGAUCAGUGGCGAACGGGUGAGUAACACGUGAGCAACCUACCCUUGACUCUGGGAUAACAGUUGGAAACAGCUGCUAAUACCGGAUAUGACCCCGGAAGACAUCUUCCGGAGUGGAAAGCUCCGACGGUCAAGGAUGGGCUCGCGGCCUAUCAGCUUGUUGGUGAGGUAACGGCUCACCAAGGCGACGACGGGUAGCCGGCCUGAGAGGGCGACCGGCCACACUGGGACUGAGAUACGGCCCAGACUCCUACGGGAGGCAGCAGUGGGGAAUAUUGCGCAAUGGGCGAAAGCCUGACGCAGCAACGCCGCGUGCGGGAUGACGGCCUUCGGGUUGUAAACCGCUUUCAGCAGGGACGAACAACACGUGACGGUACCUGCAGAAGAAGCACCGGCUAACUACGUGCCAGCAGCCGCGGUGAUACGUAGGGUGCGAGCGUUGUCCGGAAUUAUUGGGCGUAAAGAGCUUGUAGGCGGUCUGUUGCGUCGGAAGUGAAAACUCAGGGCUUAACCCUGAGCCUGCUUUCGAUACGGGCAGACUUGAGGAAGGUAGGGGAGAACGGAAUUCCUGGUGGAGCGGUGGAAUGCGCAGAUAUCAGGAGGAACACCAGUGGCGAAGGCGGUUCUCUGGACCUUUCCUGACGCUGAGAAGCGAAAGCGUGGGGAGCAAACAGGCUUAGAUACCCUGGUAGUCCACGCCGUAAACGGUGGGCACUAGGUGUGGGACCCUUCCACGGGUUCCGUGCCGUAGCUAACGCAUUAAGUGCCCCGCCUGGGGAGUACGGCCGCAAGGCUAAAACUCAAAGGAAUUGACGGGGGCCCGCACAAGCGGCGGAGCAUGCGGAUUAAUUCGAUGCAACGCGAAGAACCUUACCUGGGUUUGACAUAUGCCGGAAACAUCUAGAGAUAGGUGCCCCGCAAGGUCGGUAUACAGGUGGUGCAUGGCUGUCGUCAGCUCGUGUCGUGAGAUGUUGGGUUAAGUCCCGCAACGAGCGCAACCCUCGUUCUAUGUUGCCAGCGGUUCGGCCGGGAACUCAUAGAAGACUGCCGGGGUCAACUGAGGAAGGUGGGGAUGACGUCAAGUCAUCAUGCCCCUUAUGUCCAGGGCUUCACGCAUGCUACAAUGGCUGGUACAAAGGGCUGCGAUACCGCAAGGUGGAGCGAAUCCCAUAAAGCCAGUCUCAGUUCGGAUUGGGGUCUGCAACUCGACCCCAUGAAGUCGGAGUCGCUAGUAAUCGCAGAUCAGCAACGCUGCGGUGAAUACGUUCCCGGGCCUUGUACACACCGCCCGUCAAGUCGUGAAAGUCGGUAACACCCGAAGCCGGUGGCCUAACCCUUGUGGAGGGAGCCGUCGAAGGUGGGACCGGUAAUUAGGACUAAGUCGGAACAAGGUA
This 1472-nucleotide ribosomal RNA is filed under the name metagenome. Its description in RNAcentral is "bacterial SSU rRNA". It matches the Rfam family "Bacterial small subunit ribosomal RNA". The record is from RNAcentral.